Choloepus didactylus (southern two-toed sloth) is the source of this 3775-nucleotide RNA transcript. It is a transcript of the gene named 3-hydroxyacyl-CoA dehydratase 2, with no coding region annotated. NCBI's taxonomy places the organism in Eukaryota, Metazoa, Chordata, Mammalia, Pilosa, Megalonychidae. The transcript has 8 exons. The record is from RefSeq and is a predicted model, not a curated record.
UCCCUCCACUCGUUUGCAUUGCCGAGUCCGGGUCUGUGGUGCUCGCGCAGGGACAGCGUGCUCUGGUCGCCUGACAUGGCGGCAGCGGCGACGACUGCAGCGACGAAGGGAAAUGGGGGCGGCGGUGGCCGGGCCGGGGCCGGUGAAGCCAGCGGCACGCGGAGGAAGAAGGGUCCAGGGCCUCUGGCCACGGCGUACCUGGUCAUCUACAAUGUGGUGAUGACGGCCGGGUGGCUUGUUAUAGCAGUUGGUCUGGUCAGAGCAUACCUGGCUAAGGGUAGCUAUCAUAGCCUUUACUAUUCAAUCGAAAAGCCUUUGAAAUUCUUCCAAACUGGAGCCUUAUUGGAGAUUUUACAUUGUGCAAUAGGAAUUGUUCCAUCUUCUGUUGUCCUGACUUCUUUCCAGGUGAUGUCAAGGGUUUUUCUAACGUGGGCAGUAACACAUAGUGUCAAAGAGGUACAGAGUGAAGACAGUGUCCUCCUGUUUGUUGUUGCCUGGACAAUCACAGAAAUUAUCCGUUACUCCUUUUAUACAUUCAGUCUGUUAAACCAUCUGCCUUACUUCGUCAAAUGGGCCAGAUAUCUCAGCACAAUUCCUGUGCCUAGAAGUUUGGAGCCAAUGCUUAUUGUACACACUUUUCAUUAUUCUGUACCCAAUGGGCGCUUCAGGCGAGCUGCUCACAAUCUAUGCCGCUCUUCCCUUUGUCAGACAGGCGGGCCUGUAUUCCAUCAGUUUACCUAACAGAUACAACUUCUCAUUUGACUAUUACACAUUCCUAAUUCUGAUCAUGAUCUCUUACAUUCCACUUUUUCCCCAGUUAUACUUCCACAUGAUAUACCAGAGAAGAAAGGUCCUUUCUCAUACUGAAGAACACAAGAAAUUUGAAUAGUUCCUGCUUCCUGCCACCCCACCCCCAAAAAACUCUUCAGUGAUCAAAAAAAUGCUGCAGACUUUUUGAGUUCCCAACACGUUUCAUAGAAAAUAAAGUAAGAACUAUUUUUAAAACAUUGGAAAAAAAAACGAAACAAAAACCAAAAACAAAACAAAACACUGUUACAUAAAACAUCCUGGCAUUUCAGCAUGCUCUUUCAACCAGAAAUUCCCAUUACUUAUGAUGGCAAUAGAAAGGGAUUUGACAUUUUAUAUCCUCCUGUUUCCUUUCUGUAUCUGCUAAAUAAAGAGCUGUAACACUAAAUGCUUGAGAGUUACAGUCUGAGUAACGAAGUUGUAUUAACUGAAUGCGCAGCUCACUAAGUUAGUUACGUUUCAGUCUGCAGUGUGUUUAGCAUUCCCUUUCCAAGCUUGAAUGCAUGCUGGAAACUAUUUGUAUUUUUGAAGUGGCAAACUUUGUUCUCUGGAAUGCUCUGAAGUUACGACUGGGAUCUAUUCCCUCAUAUCUAGUGAAUGAAUUACAAACUGUAUAUGCCUGUGAAGCUUUGGGGUGGUGCCCAUAGCAGAAAACAACUCAAACCCUUUUAUUUGUUUGCAAUUGAUUCAUUACUGCCUGCCACUAAGAAAUGUGCUUGAAUUUAAUAAGUAUGUGUGCAUUGUAAACAAAUACCAUAUCUGGGGCUCAGCCUCAACCAUAUUUUGAUAAAAUGACAGUUUUCAGAGGAACAAAGAUUGAUAGCUACUAAAGGAUGAGUACCUUUCACAGCCCCAUUCUCAGAACACCUCUGAGUAAUGUGUUUGCCAACAGCUGUUCUUGUUUAUAGGCCCAAAACCAAUCUAGUCAUAUAGGAGUAGGGAAUCUGUUAAUAAAAGCACAUGGAAGGUGUUGCUUUAGAAAUAUAGUCCAGAAAAACAUCCAGGAAUAAUUUUAUAUACUGUUGUUUUUAUUAUUAUAAAGUUUUUAAAUUUUCAUCCAUCUCUUCUAUUUGUAUACUUUUCCUAAUUAUGAUCCUUUUUUAAUUCCCACCAAGUUGUUCAGGCUGGGCAGUCAUAGGCUAAAAGUAGUAUCAUCCAUGCAUGUGGUAGCAACCAAGAAAUGUUUUGGUCAUAUGGAUGUUGUCCGACCUCAUAUCUUCAUGCCAUUUAAUUGCUCAACUGUGUUUAAAUGUACCCUUCAAGGAAAGAUUGAAUGAAAAUGUAAAACCAAGUUUAGAUGUGCAUUUGAUUUUAAAUACAGUGUGUUCUUUGUGGAGCCUUGUUUCAGGGAUUUUUGUGGUGUGGGUUGAUCUUUAAAACUUUAAAAGUCUAUCUUACUGAGUAGUUAUCAUUUAAAAUAUAAUUGCCAAUAUCAGAAGACUGUCACAAUGAAAAAAUAUUUUAAAUGCUUAUUUCACUGAAGCUUGAAAAUUAAGACAAAAAUGAAAAAAAAAAAUGCAUCCUAAAAUUUAAUGCAGGCGAUCUGUGAUAAAUUAUUUUUGAAUUGAACACUAAAAUUCUGCUUUUUAAAUUUAGUACCUUUAACUUGGGUGUGUUGAGAUUAGAAUCUAUUCUUGAACUUAAAAAGACAAAACAUGUGGGAAAGAUAAUUUUUCAUGCUUUCACACAUGUGUUCUUUUAGUCUCUCAAAAGAUAUUUGGUUAGAUCAGUCUUAUUACUUUAUUUGGUUAAAAUUUUUCCAGUUGUAUUUGGGAUAGUUGUAGAAGAAGGAAUGAAAAAUUCAGGUUUUCCGGGAUUAUUAAGACUGGGGGUUUUAGUCAAUCCUCUCUUAUAAUCUGUAACUAUGAAAAACAGUGUUGCAAACAGUAGUUCGGCAUCAAAUUGAACUUUGACAACAAGCACACAGCAAACAACUCCCUUUUAAAAAACAGUUUCGACCUCGUGGUGUAUUUUUAUCCAGCAUUUAAAAUACUUAUGGCAGAUAAGUAAGACAUUAUUAGAGGUUAUUGUGUCCUUCAGUAGCUUCUCUCAUUAACGGGUUUCUUUAUCCCUAACAUGAAUUAAUUUUUCCUUUGAAGUGGUGGUGUUCUUUUAUAAACAUCCAACACCACCAAAUGUCACAUCUUCUCAUAAAGUGUGAAUGAGGAAUGUGGUGCUUUGGUGGGUAUUUUGUCAGACUGAGCAGUUUCAUUUCAGGGUACAGUCAAAGGCAUCAACUUCACAGCUACCCACUUGAUUCCAUGUUUCAGAUCCCCCCCUGCAGGAGGCUUCCUCUGGCAGAGAACGUUUUUUGAGGUAUGCAGUAGUGCUUUGUAGAUAGAAGCUGCUAAUCUGCAUCCUGCUGUGUUCUGUUUGCUAAGAUUGGGAUCAUUCAUUUAACAUAUACUGAUUAUUAUCAAAGGCACCGUGGACAGUUAGUCAGGGAAUAAAGUGUUAUCCUCCCAAAUGAAAAGGUUCCUCUGGGAUAAGAAAGGGUUAGAAGAUGUAGAGUUAAAGAGGCAUAUGAAGAGAUCAUGCCCUCAUUUUUCACUUUGUUCUUGGGUUAUUCGUUUAUAAUAAAAGGUUGGCAUUGAUGUGGCCAAUCUUGCAAAUUAUUUUCAAUUCUGAGUCUUAGAUAAAACACCAAAUUCAGUACAUACCAUUCCUUUGAAAUUUGGGUAAAAAUAUUAUACAACCAUAUAUAUAGUCAUUUUUGUAUUUUUUCUAUGUUGUGAAAACCAAAAUUGUAAUUUUAUAAGUCUUUGAUUCACUCAAAUUAUAUAAUUUAAAUGUAUUUUUUGUAUAUUUAGAAAUAAGGAAUUCAAAGACUAUGCUUACACUUUCUAUGCAUGCAUUUGGAAGCUAUUUUUACUUGAUAAUGUUAACAUGGUAAUAAGUUGUAUUCAUAAAAUACUGAUCUGUGUUGCAUUUUAAAAUAAACUGGUGUGUGCUCUGCCUGGAUUUGAAA